AGAUUGAACGCUGGCGGCGUGCCUAACACAUGCAAGUCGAGCGGUAACAGGUGUAGCAAUACAUGCUGACGAGCGGCGAACGGGUGAGUAAUGCUUUGGAAUCUUCCCAGUAGUGGGGAAUAACCAGUCGAAAGAUUGGCUAAUACCGCAUACGUCUGUAAAGGGAAAGCGGGGGCUCGUAAGACCUCGCGCUAUUGGAUGAGCCAAAGUCGGAUUAGCUAGUUGGUGGGGUAAUGGCCUACCAAGGCGACAAUCCGUAGCUGGUCUGAGAGGACGACCAGCCACACCGGAACUGAGACACGGUCCGGACUCCUACGGGAGGCAGCAGUGGGGAAUAUUGGACAAUGGGGGAAACCCUGAUCCAGCGACGCCGCGUGUGUGAAGAAGGCCUGCGGGUUGUAAAGCACUUUUAGUGGGGACAAAAGCUACGGAUUAAUACUCUGUGGUCUUGAUUUAACCCAAGAAAAGCACCGGCUAACUCUGCGCAGCAGCCGCGGUAA
RNAcentral lists this ribosomal RNA (500 nucleotides) under uncultured bacterium. RNAcentral's name for it is "SSU rRNA". It matches the Rfam family "Bacterial small subunit ribosomal RNA", at positions 26 to 523 of the family's 1533-position model. The record is from RNAcentral.